CUUGUCCUAGAAAUAUUCUCACUGUUUAUUUGGGGGUGGAGAGCUGGGAUGAGGGAAAUUUCUCAAAGGCUAUCUCCUUUUGAUUGUUUCCUAUUCACCUAGCCAAGUAUUCAUGAAGCAGUUCCCAUCUGCGGAGCACCAUUCAACUGAGUAAGACACAGCCUCUGGCCUCCAGAUCUCACCAUCUAGCUCUUCUAUCCGAAAAAGAAGGACAAUACCUCUUUGCCUUCUUCACAGGGCCACCCCUCACUUAUUUAUUCACUUAGUAGACAUGUCUUAGGCACAAAAAAGUUGCCAGGCAACUUUUAGGAGCUAAGAAUAGGGGCUUUGUUCUCUCCGGGAUCUUACAGGGAGAGAGACUCAGCAGAGGAUUGCGCUGCAGUGCAGCUGUGGGAGCUGGAGGCAGCCUCGCCACCUGCCUAAAUGAGGACUGAAAUCUGGAGGGACUAAAUGGCCAGGAUCCUGCGGUACCAAGUUGGAGCUGGUGUGAAAGACACUCAUUUGGAGGAGAUGAGAAAUGAGGCCAGAGAGAUUUUUGAAAACUGCCUCUUGAGUCAUCCCAGAACAUCAGAGGGGGUCAAGGAGUGUACAAAGGUUGAGAGAACCCAUCUGUGAACUGAGAGCUUUAUAUUAUUUUGAACAAUUUUAAGUUUCCUGCCAAUGUGCCUGGGAAGGCAGAAGAAGAUGGCCUGAGUGUGGCGCCUGCCACCCUUACGGAAGACAAGGAUGAUGUUCCUGGUUCCUGCUUUGCUUUGGCCCAGAUCUGUCAAUUGGGGCCAUUUGGGGAAGCAAAUGGAAGAUGGCAGAUCUCUCUCUCUCUCUCUUUUUGUUAGCCUUUCAAAUAAACAAAUAAAUAGAUCAUUUCAGAAAAAGAGAUAAUUAAAAUAUUAUAUCCUAAUGAAUAAUGUUUCUGUGGUCUCAAUCUACCUUGGAAAUUUGAUGAAAACUAUAAAUUCUUAUUCCUCAGAGUAGGAAUGCACACAUACAAAACUUUUGCACACAGACUCAGAAAAUAUAAAGAUAUAAGAAAGUACAACCAAAGACUUGAAGUUAAGAUUCUUUGUUCAAGAUGUACUCCCCAAAGAGGGAAUAAAGUUCUCAGUUUUAUUUAUGUUUUAUAACUUUUGAUCAUUCAGAAUCAUAAUUCAUAACUUUUAAAUUUGGAAGGGACUUUAUAGUCUAAAUCCUUGUUUUUAACAUUUUUUUAGAAAUAGUACUAUGUUCUGAGAAAAUACUUGGUAUUUCAGCUACACAGUGGACUCUAUCAAUUUCACAUUUCUAUAAUUAGGGAAAAUAGAGUUGGGCAUUGUUGUGCAGUGGGCUAAGUCAUUGCUUGGAAUGCCUGUGUACCAUAUCAGAGCACCAUUUCAAGUCCCAGUUACUCUACAUUUAACCCAGCAUCCUGCUAAUGCAUUGUUGGAGGCAGUAGAUAGCUCAAUGACUGAGUCCUGCCACCCACAUGGGAGACCUCAGAUUGAGUUCUGGUCUCCUGGAUUCUGUCUGGCCCAGCCAUGGCUGUAUUGGCAUUUGGGGAAUGAGCUAGUAGACGGAAGAACUCUCUCUGUGUCUCUCUCCCUCUUCCUCUCUCUCUCUCUCUGUGAGAAUCUACCUUUCAAAUA
Oryctolagus cuniculus (rabbit) is the source of this 1619-nucleotide long non-coding RNA. RefSeq lists it as uncharacterized. NCBI's taxonomy places the organism in Eukaryota, Metazoa, Chordata, Mammalia, Lagomorpha, Leporidae. The record is from RefSeq and is a predicted model, not a curated record.